RNAcentral lists this long non-coding RNA (1093 nucleotides) under Equus caballus (horse). Its description in RNAcentral is "lncRNA (ENSECAG00000051453.1)". The record is from RNAcentral. Lineage: Eukaryota; Metazoa; Chordata; Mammalia; Perissodactyla; Equidae.
AUCAGAUGAUGUCUUUUCCAGAUACAAAGUAGAAUUAAACAUGGCGCUGAAGAGAAUCUCAUCACCAUGCAAUGAGAGUUGAGGCAGGAGGCGGCCUUCUGGGUGAAGACUAACGAGAAGUUUCCAUUUAGGAAGCUUUUCUGCAGCGAGCUGACUUUGAGUCUAAUACCUUUUUUUUUCUCUUACUCUUUUCUGAGAUAAUUGUAUUUUAAAUAGUUCUUAAAAAGGAUUUUACUGGGUGGAAAUAUAAGGCUUCGUUCUUUCUGAAGGAAGCGGUUUCAGUGAAAAUUUAUUUAACCCCACGGCGCCAAAGGGAUGAAGAUUUCACAGUCUUCUUGGCAGCUUGGUUUAAAGAUUAGUCACACUUAAGUUAUAUCUGAGCCACCAGAGGAUUGAACCACACCAGUGAAUAAAAAGCAGCCCGCCCCGCCUGCCUUCUAAGUGGACUCUGCCUUCUGAGGUGUUUCGUUUAUCAUCAAAUCUUCUCAUGGUCAUUCAGAUUUGAAGACAUACACAGAGUGCUUGCUCAUCCUCACAUUAAGAAAAUAAGUAAGCGAUGGACAUAUAAGAAUUCUGGAAGUAUUAGAGUCUACAUAAUUCAUCCCUCCUUCAAGUCAUGAGAUCUUCAAUCAGGGUAAAUAUGAAAUUAAAGCCAACUCAUGGCCCUGGCCUGGAGCACCCUUACGUGAGGCCCAUGCAGCCAUCUGAGCCACUGGAUAUGUCCUACUUUUUGUCCAAAUCUCUGGGCCUCACAAAAAAGCCCUCUCACAGUUAUAGAACUUAUAAGAAAACGAAAUCAGAAUCUCUCUAUUUGACAUUUUUAACAAUUACUACAAGAAUCUGAAGUUUGUUGCUAUUCGGAAAGGUCCAGUAACCUUGGAGGGGCUAUAUUCUGUUGGUGGCAGGGUCAAGUAAAAUAGGAAGAUUGAUCUUAGUUAUUAAGAAGAUUAAUUUAUGCUACAAAUAAACUCCACAAUGGGGCUGAAUUUUCUUUAUCCUUUUAAAUAAAAUUACAAUGCUGAAAAUCCACCGCUUUUUGUUUCUUUUAAGUUGGGUCUACACAAGGCAGCUAGUUACCAACAUGCUUCAUUAU